AGUGAAUAGAUACCCAGGUAGUCCCAGCCGUAAACGAUGUGCGUUAGGUGUAUCGGUGACCACGAGUCACCGAGGUGCCGAAAGAGAAAUCGUGAAACGUACCGCCUGGGAAGUACGGUCGCAAGGCUGAAACUUAAAGGAAUUGGCGGGGGAGCACCACAACAGGUGGAGCCUGCGGUUUAAUCGGACUCAACGCCGGGAAACUCACCAGAUAAGACAGCUGAAUGAUAGUCGGGCUGAAGACUCUACUUGACUAGCUGAGAGGAGGUGCAUGGCCGUCGUCAGUUCGUACUGUGAAGCAUCCUGUUAAGUCAGACAACGAGCGAGACCCACGCCAACAGUUGCCAGCUCGUCCCCCGGGAUGGAGGGGACACUGUUGGGACCGCCUCUGCUAAAGAGGAGGAAGGAAUGGGCAACGGUAGGUCAGCAUGCCCCGAAUUAUCUGGGCUACACGCGGGCUACAAUGGGUGGGACAAUGGGUAUCGAUACCGAAAGGUGAAGGCAAUCUCCUAAACCCAUCCUUAGUUCGGAUUGUGGGCUG
Molecule: ribosomal RNA, 541 nt
Filed under: uncultured bacterium
Lineage: Bacteria
Description: bacterial SSU rRNA
Rfam family: Archaeal small subunit ribosomal RNA
Source: RNAcentral